UACGUAGGGGGCAAGCGUUGUCCGGAUUUAUUGGGCGUAAAGAGCGUGUAGGCGGUUAGGUAGGUCCGUUGUGAAAACUCGAGGCUCAACCUCGAGACGCCGAUGGAAACCAUCUAACUAGAGUCCGGAAGAGGAGAAUGGAAUCCUGGUGUAGCGGUGAAAUGCGCAGAUAUCAGGAAGAACACCCGUGGCUAAGGCGGUUCUCUAGUACGGUACUGACGCUGAGACGCGAAAGCGUGGGAGCGAACAGG
RNAcentral lists this ribosomal RNA (251 nucleotides) under uncultured bacterium. Its description in RNAcentral is "partial 16S ribosomal RNA". It matches the Rfam family "Bacterial small subunit ribosomal RNA", at positions 524 to 776 of the family's 1533-position model. The record is from RNAcentral.